RNAcentral lists this ribosomal RNA (301 nucleotides) under uncultured bacterium. RNAcentral describes it as "partial 16S ribosomal RNA". It matches the Rfam family "Bacterial small subunit ribosomal RNA", at positions 509 to 807 of the family's 1533-position model. The record is from RNAcentral.
CAGCAGCCACGGGAAUACGGAGGGGUCUAGCGUUGUUCGGAAUUACUGGGCGUAAAGCGCACGUAGGCGGCUUGGUAAGUUAGAGGUGAAAGCCUGGAGCUCAACUCCAGAAUUGCCUUUAAGACUGCCGAGCUAGCAGGUGAGAGAGGUAAGUGGAAUUCCGAGUGUAGAGGUGAAAUUCGUAGAUAUUCGGAAGAACACCAGUGGCGAAGGCGGCUUACUGGCUCAUUCUAGACGCUGAGGUGCGAAAGCGUGGGGAGCAAACAGGAUUAGAUACCCCAGUAGUCCCUGUCUCUUAUAC